Non-coding RNA from Hypoxylon sp. CI-4A, 113 nucleotides. The record is from the annotation of a GenBank genome assembly. Lineage: Eukaryota; Fungi; Ascomycota; Sordariomycetes; Xylariales; Hypoxylaceae.
UCCGAGUUGGUGUAGUGGCUAACAUUUGGCGCUCUCAUCAUUGACCUGAUCAUCCGAUCUGUCAAGAUCCGCCAAGAUCCGCCAAGCUAGGGGUUCGAUUCCCCGAUUCGGAG